Colias croceus (clouded yellow) is the source of this 214-nucleotide long non-coding RNA. RefSeq lists it as uncharacterized. The transcript is spliced from 2 exons. Lineage: Eukaryota; Metazoa; Arthropoda; Insecta; Lepidoptera; Pieridae. The record is from RefSeq and is a predicted model, not a curated record.
CUAAGUUUUAAUAUCAUGUUUCACUGGAAAUUGAAUAAAUAGUUGGCUAAAUCAAGUGCUACAAGCUUAUAAAUGCAAAGGAAAUCUCACAAUGACGAGUGCAUUAAAGCUUGGAUACAUUGUGAUGGCUACUAGCAUGAAAGCGUAGACUACCAUAGUAAAAACCGUCUCAGACAAGGAGCUUCGUAUAAUUAUGGUAGAACUUCACUUACAG